This 443-nucleotide ribosomal RNA is filed under the name uncultured bacterium. RNAcentral's name for it is "partial 16S ribosomal RNA". It matches the Rfam family "Bacterial small subunit ribosomal RNA", at positions 339 to 795 of the family's 1533-position model. The record is from RNAcentral.
CUACGGGACGCAGCAGUCGAGAAUAUUCCACAAUGGGCGAAAGCCUGAUGGAGCGACGCCGCGUGCAGGAUGAAGGCCUUCGGGUUGUAAACUGCUUUUGUUAGGGAAGAACUUCGGUGACGGUACCUAACGAAUAAGAGGUUACUAACUCUGUGCCAGCAGUAGCGGUAAUACAGAGACCUCAAGCGUUAUCCGGAUUUAUUGGGCGUAAAGCGUGCGUAGGCGGAUAUGUUAGUCAGAUGUCAAAUUUCUGGGCUCAACCCAGAAACUGCAUUUGAAACGGCAUAUCUUGAGAGGGUGAGGGACCAGUGGAACUCAUGGUGUAGUAGUGAAAUGCGUUGAUAUCAUGAGGAACACCAAAGGCGAAGGCAUCUGGUUGGCACUUUUCUGACGCUAAGGCGCGAAAGCGUGGGGAGCGAAUGGGAUUAGAUACCCCCGUAGUC